Molecule: ribosomal RNA, 257 nt
Filed under: uncultured prokaryote
Description: partial 16S ribosomal RNA
Rfam family: Bacterial small subunit ribosomal RNA
Source: RNAcentral
UACGAAGGGGGCUAGCGUUGCUCGGAAUCAUUGGGCGUAAAGCGUACCGAUAGGUGGCUUUGUUAGCCAGUGGUGAAAUCUCCGAGCUCAACUCGGAAUCUGUCCAUUGGAACUGCAAAGCUAGAGGGGCAAAGAGGAAGCUGGAACGAACGGUGUAGUAGUGAAAUGCGUUGAUAUCGUUCGGAACACCAAUAGCGUAGGCAGGCUUCUGGGUGCCACCUGACACUGCUAGGACGAAAGCGUGGGGAGCGAAUGGG